RNAcentral lists this ribosomal RNA (978 nucleotides) under Stephanoprora sp. 1 SB-2020. Its description in RNAcentral is "partial large subunit ribosomal RNA". It matches the Rfam family "Eukaryotic large subunit ribosomal RNA", at positions 29 to 685 of the family's 3401-position model. The record is from RNAcentral. Lineage: Eukaryota; Metazoa; Platyhelminthes; Trematoda; Plagiorchiida; Echinochasmidae.
UGAAUUUAAGCAUAUCACUAAGCGGAGGAAAAGAAACUAACCAGGAUUCCCUUAGUAACGGCGAGUGAACAGGGAAAAGCCCAGCACCGAAGCCUGUGGCCGUUUGGUCUCUAGGCAAUGUGGUGUUCAGGUCAGCUCGCAGAGAUACUGCUCCACCCUAAGUCCUGUAAUGAGUAAGGUUACUGGAGCGGCCCACAGAGGGUGAAAGGCCCGUGGGGGUGGAGAUGCAGAUGAGUCAGUGUCUCUAUGAGUGGACCUUGGAGUCGGGUUGUUUGUGAAUGCAGCCCAAAGUGGGUGGUAAACUCCAUCCAAGGCUAAAUACUGGCACGAGUCCGAUAGCGAACAAGUACCGUGAGGGAAAGUUGAAAAGUACUUUGAAGAGAGAGUAAACAGUGCGUGAAACCGCUCAAAGGUAAACGGGUGGAGUUGAACUGCAAGCUCCGGGAAUUCAACUGGUGAGUGUGAUGUGAGCUUGGCACAUAGUUGUACAUCUGGGUCUGCUUAGCUGCAGGUCUCCGCCUCUGGUGGGGAUGCGCGAAUCACUUAUCAUGUGUUGUGCGCCCGGGCUGUGUCGAACUGGCUCGCCAGUGCACUUUCUCGGAGUAGUCACCACGACCGGCGUUGCUGCCUUGCUGUUGCGGUUAAACCGGCCUUGUAGGGUCCCUGUGGCCUUGCUUGGUCGGGAUGGCAGGUAGCCCGUUGUGUACUUUUGUGCGCCUCGGGUGUAAUAGCUGACUGCAUCGGUUUUGUGCGGUACGUCGGAGACGGCGGCUUGUUGUGCGUGCGUGCGUACCUUGUGCGCUGGCGGCGCUGGGUCCGGUUGCCAUGUUGCUUGUGAAUGCAGGCCUGGUGAUGGCUCGGUGUUGUUCGGUGUGCGGAUGCGUGUGUGGCACUUUAAAGGGCCAAUAGUCUGUGGUGUAGUGGUAGACUAUCCACCUGACCCGUCUUGAAACACGGACCAAGGAGAGUAACAUGUGC